Non-coding RNA from Salvelinus sp. IW2-2015, 341 nucleotides. The record is from RefSeq and is a predicted model, not a curated record. NCBI's taxonomy places the organism in Eukaryota, Metazoa, Chordata, Actinopteri, Salmoniformes, Salmonidae.
CAUUGAUUUCUUUGCAGCCUUUCUGAGUACGUGCUUCAAGGAUUCACUUGCUCUCGUGUCCAGACUUUCACCAAAACAAAAAUUCAACAUCUCAUCAGAGCUUGCAGACAUAGGGCCGGUCGGAGAAAGGUGGUUCUCAAGGAGACACAGCUAACAUGCAUGUGGAACAACAUCAAAGGUGAAAGUCCUCAAGAUUUUGACAACUAUCCAUCAGAUAUGUUGCUGUAUUACAGCUACACCAACAUACAACAGACCYACUGCAGAUCCUACUUCARUGAAACAGGAAGAGCAGACUUCUCCGUCCUGUCCAGCACYUUGGAUGGAWGAAAGGUUGAUCUACU